This 254-nucleotide ribosomal RNA is filed under the name uncultured bacterium. RNAcentral describes it as "partial 16S ribosomal RNA". It matches the Rfam family "Bacterial small subunit ribosomal RNA", at positions 524 to 776 of the family's 1533-position model. The record is from RNAcentral.
UACAGAGGGUGCGAGCGUUGUCCGGAAUUACUGGGCGUAAAGGGCGCGUAGGCGGCCACCGCAAGUCGGUUGUGAAAUCUCCGGGCUUAACCCGGAAAGGUCAAUCGAUACUGCGGGGCUAGAGUGCAGAAGGGGCAACUGGAAUUCUCGGUGUAGCGGUGAAAUGCGUAGGUAUCGAGAGGAACACCUGCGGCGAAGGCGGGUUGCUGGGCUGACACUGACGCUGAAGCGCGAAAGCUAGGGGAGCGAACGGG